Molecule: ribosomal RNA, 779 nt
Filed under: Diaporthe inconspicua
Lineage: Eukaryota; Fungi; Ascomycota; Sordariomycetes; Diaporthales; Diaporthaceae
Description: LSU rRNA
Rfam family: Eukaryotic large subunit ribosomal RNA
Source: RNAcentral
GCAACAGCUCAAAUUUGAAAUCUGGCUUCGGCCCGAGUUGUAAUUUGCAGAGGAUGUUUCUGGCGCGGUGCCUUCCGAGUUCCCUGGAACGGGACGCCACAGAGGGUGAGAGCCCCGUAUGGUUGGACACCAAGCCUGUGUGAAACUCCUUCAACGAGUCGAGUAGUUUGGGAAUGCUGCUCUAAAUGGGAGGUAAAUCUCUUCUAAAGCUAAAUACCGGCCAGAGACCGAUAGCGCACAAGUAGAGUGAUCGAAAGAUGAAAAGCACCUUGAAAAGGGGGUUAAAUAGUACGUGAAAUUGUUGAAAGGGAAGCACUUAUGACCAGACUUGGGCCGGGCGGCUCAUCAGGGGUUCUCCCCUGUGCACUCCGCCCGGCACAGGCCAGCAUCGGUUCUCGUGGGGGGAUAAGACCGUCAGGAACGUAGCACCCUCCGGGGUGUGUUAUAGCCUGGCGGACGAUACCCCCGUGGGGACCGAGGUCCGCGCUCCGCAAGGAUGCUGGCGUAAUGGUCAUCAGUGACCCGUCUUGAAACACGGACCAAGGAGUCGUCCAUUAGAGCGAGCGUUUGGGUGUAAAACCCGCACGCGUAAUGAAAGUGAACGCAGGUGAGAGCUUCGGCGCAUCAUCGACCGAUCCUGAUGUUCUCGGAAGGAUUUGAGUAAGAGUUUUAACGGACGGACCCGAAAGACAGUGAACUAUGCUUGUAUAGGGUGAAGCCAGAGGAAACUCUGGUGGAGGCUCGCAGCGGUUCUGACGUGCAAAUCGUAUCGUCAGAGA